GCAAGUCGAGCGGUAGCACAGAGAGCUUGCUCUCGGGUGACGAGCGGCGGACGGGUGAGUAAUGUCUGGGAAACUGCCUGAUGGAGGGGGAUAACUACUGGAAACGGUAGCUAAUACCGCAUAAUGUCGCAAGACCAAAGUGGGGGACCUUCGGGCCUCAUGCCAUCAGAUGUGCCCAGAUGGGAUUAGCUAGUAGGUGGGGUAACGGCUCACCUAGGCGACGAUCCCUAGCUGGUCUGAGAGGAUGACCAGCCACACUGGAACUGAGACACGGUCCAGACUCCUACGGGAGGCAGCAGUGGGGAAUAUUGCACAAUGGGCGCAAGCCUGAUGCAGCCAUGCCGCGUGUGUGAAGAAGGCCUUCGGGUUGUAAAGCACUUUCAGCGGGGAGGAAGGCGGUGAGGUUAAUAACCUUAUCGAUUGACGUUACCCGCAGAAGAAGCACCGGCUAAAUCCGUGCCAGCAGCCGCGGUAAUACGGAGGGUGCAAGCGUUAAUCGGAAUUACUGGGCGUAAAGCGCACGCAGGCGGUCUGUCAAGUCGGAUGUGAAAUCCCCGGGCUCAACCUGGGAACUGCAUUCGAAACUGGCAGGCUAGAGUCUUGUAGAGGGGGGUAGAAUUCCAGGUGUAGCGGUGAAAUGCGUAGAGAUCUGGAGGAAUACCGGUGGCGAAGGCGGCCCCCUGGACAAAGACUGACGCUCAGGUGCGAAAGCGUGGGGAGCAAACAGGAUUAGAUACCCUGGUAGUCCACGCCGUAAACGAUGUCGAUUUGGAGGUUGUGCCCUUGAGGCGUGGCUUCCGGAGCUAACGCGUUAAAUCGACCGCCUGGGGAGUACGGCCGCAAGGUUAAAACUCAAAUGAAUUGACGGGGGCCCGCACAAGCGGUGGAGCAUGUGGUUUAAUUCGAUGCAACGCGAAGAACCUUACCUGGUCUUGACAUCCACAGAACUUUCCAGAGAUGGAUUGGUGCCUUCGGGAACUGUGAGACAGGUGCUGCAUGGCUGUCGUCAGCUCGUGUUGUGAAAUGUUGGGUUAAGUCCCGCAACGAGCGCAACCCUUAUCCUUUGUUGCCAGCGGUUAGGCCGGGAACUCAAAGGAGACUGCCAGUGAUAAACUGGAGGAAGGUGGGGAUGACGUCAAGUCAUCAUGGCCCUUACGACCAGGGCUACACACGUGCUACAAUGGCAUAUACAAAGAGAAGCGACCUCGCGAGAGCAAGCGGACCUCAUAAAGUAUGUCGUAGUCCGGAUUGGAGUCUGCAACUCGACUCCAUGAAGUCGGAAUCGCUAGUAAUCGUAGAUCAGAAUGCUACGGUGAAUACGUUCCCGGGCCUUGUACACACCGCCCGUCACACCAUGGGAGUGGGUUGCAAAAGAAGUAGGUAGCUUAACCUUCGGGAGGGCGC
RNAcentral lists this ribosomal RNA (1404 nucleotides) under Klebsiella pneumoniae. RNAcentral describes it as "bacterial SSU rRNA". It matches the Rfam family "Bacterial small subunit ribosomal RNA". The record is from RNAcentral. Lineage: Bacteria; Pseudomonadati; Pseudomonadota; Gammaproteobacteria; Enterobacterales; Enterobacteriaceae.